GUGAGGAAUAUUGGUCAAUGGGCGAGAGCCUGAACCAGCCAAGUCGCGUGAAGGAUGAAGGUUUUAUGAAUUGUAAACUUCUUUUGCAGGGGAAUAAAGUACGGUACGUGUACCGUUUUGUAUGUACUCUGCGAAUAAGGAUCGGCUAACUCCGUGCCAGCAGCCGCGGUAAUACGGAGGAUCCAAGCGUUAUCCGGAUUUAUUGGGUUUAAAGGGUGCGCAGGCGGGUUGAUAAGUCAGCGGUGAAAGUUUGCGGAUUAACUGUAAAAUGGCCGUUGAAACUGUCGAUCUUGAGUGCAAAUGAGGUAAGCGGAAUGUGUUGUGUAGCGGUGAAAUGCUUAGAUAUAACACAGAACACCGAUUGCGAAGGCAGCUUACUGGGAUGCAACUGACGCUCAUGCACGAAAGCGUGGGGAUCAAACAGGAUUAGAAACCCUUGUAGUCC
RNAcentral lists this ribosomal RNA (445 nucleotides) under uncultured bacterium. RNAcentral's name for it is "partial 16S ribosomal RNA". It matches the Rfam family "Bacterial small subunit ribosomal RNA", at positions 354 to 796 of the family's 1533-position model. The record is from RNAcentral.